This 444-nucleotide ribosomal RNA is filed under the name uncultured bacterium. RNAcentral's name for it is "bacterial SSU rRNA". It matches the Rfam family "Bacterial small subunit ribosomal RNA", at positions 958 to 1399 of the family's 1533-position model. The record is from RNAcentral.
AACGCGAAGAACCUUACCUGGGCUUGACAUGUGCUUGACCGCACCUGAAAGGGUGUUUUCUGUAGCAAUACAGACAAGUUCACAGGUGCUGCAUGGCUGUCGUCAGCUCGUGUCGUGAGACGUCGGGUUAAGUCCUUGAACGAGCGCAACCCUUGCCGCUAGUUGCUCGGCGAAAGCAAGCACUCUAGCGGGACUGCCUUGGAAACAAGGAGGAAGGUGGGGAUGACGUCAAGUCCUCAUGGCCCUUAUGCCCAGGGCGACACACGUGUUACAAUGGCGAAAAACAGAGGGGAGCAAGACCGCGAGGUGGAGCAAAUCCCAGAAAGUUCGUCUAAGUUCAGAUUGUAGUCUGCAACCCGACUACAUGAAGUUGAAAUCGCUAGUAAUCGCAUAUCAGAACGAUGCGGUGAAUACGUUCCCGGGCCUUGUACACACCGCGUGUCU